RNAcentral lists this ribosomal RNA (253 nucleotides) under uncultured bacterium. RNAcentral describes it as "partial 16S ribosomal RNA". It matches the Rfam family "Bacterial small subunit ribosomal RNA", at positions 524 to 776 of the family's 1533-position model. The record is from RNAcentral.
UACGAAGGGGGCAAGCGUUGUUCGGAAUCAUUGGGCGUAAAGCGCGUGUAGGCUGUCUAUUAAGUCGGGUGUGAAAUCCCUGGGCUCAACCGAGGAAGUGCAUUCGAAACUAAUAGACUAGAAGGUGGUAGAGGAUGGUGGAAUUCCAGGUGUAGAGGUGAAAUUCGUAGAUAUCUGGAGGAAUACCGGUGGCGAAGGCGGCCAUCUGGGCCACCCUUGACGCUGAGACGCGAAAGCGUGGGUAGCAAACAGG